GAUGAACGCUAGCUAUAGGCUUAACACAUGCAAGUCGAGGGGAAACGGCAUUAUGUGCUUGCACAUUUUGGACGUCGACCGGCGCACGGGUGAGUAUCGCGUAUCCAACCUGCCCUUUACUUGGGGAUACCCCGUUGAAAGACGGCCUAAUACCCGAUGUAAUUCAUUGAUGGCAUCAGAUAUGAAUAAAAGAUUUAUCGGUAAAGGAUGGGGAUGCGUCUGAUUAGCUUGUUGGUGAGGUAACGGCUCACCAAGGCGACGAUCAGUAGGGGUUCUGAGAGGAAGGUCCCCCGCGUGGGAACGGAGACACGGUCCAAACUCCUACGGGAGGCAGCAGUGGGGAAUAUUGGUCAAUGGGCGCAAGCCUGAACCAGCCAAGUAGCGUGCAGGAAGACGGCCCUAUGGGUUGUAAACUGCUUUUAUACGAGAAUAAUUUGAUGCACGUGUGCGUUAUUGCAUGUAUCGUAUGAAUAAGGACCGGCUAAUUCCGUG
RNAcentral lists this ribosomal RNA (492 nucleotides) under uncultured bacterium. Its description in RNAcentral is "partial 16S ribosomal RNA". It matches the Rfam family "Bacterial small subunit ribosomal RNA", at positions 28 to 507 of the family's 1533-position model. The record is from RNAcentral.